RNAcentral lists this ribosomal RNA (598 nucleotides) under Saccharomycetales sp. LM576. Its description in RNAcentral is "bacterial SSU rRNA". The stretch from base 1 to 353 matches the Rfam family "Eukaryotic small subunit ribosomal RNA", at positions 1480 to 1831 of the family's 1831-position model. The record is from RNAcentral. Lineage: Eukaryota; Fungi; Ascomycota; Saccharomycetes; Saccharomycetales.
GUCUGGGCCGCACGCGCGCUACACUGACGGAGCCAGCGAGUAUUAACCUUGGCCGAGAGGUCUGGGAAAUCUUGUGAAACUCCGUCGUGCUGGGGAUAGAGCAUUGUAAUUAUUGCUCUUCAACGAGGAAUUCCUAGUAAGCGCAAGUCAUCAGCUUGCGUUGAUUACGUCCCUGCCCUUUGUACACACCGCCCGUCGCUACUACCGAUUGAAUGGCUUAGUGAGGCCUUCGGAUUGGUUUAAGGAAGGGGGCAACUCCAUCCUGGAACCGAAAAGUUGGACAAACUUGGUCAUUUAGAGGAAGUAAAAGUCGUAACAAGGUUUCCGUAGGUGAACCUGCGGAAGGAUCAUUACAGUUAUUAAUUCUUUGCCAGCGCUUAAUUGCGCGGCGGGAACUAAUCCUUACACACUGUGUUUUUUGUUAUUACAAGAACUAUUGCUUUGGCUUGGCCUUCGGGUUGGGCCAGAGACUUGAAUAAACUUCAAUUUUUUAUUGAAUUGUUUUUUAAAUUAUUGUCAAUUUGUUUGAUUAAAUUCAAAAUAAUCUUCAAAACUUUCAACAACGGAUCUCUUGGUUCUCGCAUCGAUGAAGAACGCA